CCUACGGGAGGCAGCAGUGGGGAAUAUUGCACAAUGGGCGAAAGCCUGAUGCAGCAACGCCGCGUGAAGGAAGAAGGCUUUCGGCUCGUAAACUUCUAUCAACAGGGACGAAAGAAAUGACGGUACCUGAGGAAUAAGCCCCGGCUAACUACGUGCCAGCAGCCGCGGUAAUACGUAGGGGGCAAGCGUUAUCCGGAAUUACUGGGUGUAAAGGGGGGGUAGGCGGCGUUGUAAGCCAGAUGGGAAAGCCCUGGGCUUAACCCGAGGAUUGCUCUUGGAACUAUGUGGCUGGAGUACAGGAGGGGCAGGCGGAAUUCCUGGUGUAGCGGUGAAAUGCGUAGAUAUUAGGAAGAACACCAGUGGCGAAGGCGGCUUGCUGGACUGAAACUGACGCUGAGGCCCGAAAGCGUGGGGAGCGAACAGGAUUAGAUACCCCAGUAGUC
RNAcentral lists this ribosomal RNA (443 nucleotides) under uncultured bacterium. RNAcentral's name for it is "partial 16S ribosomal RNA". It matches the Rfam family "Bacterial small subunit ribosomal RNA", at positions 338 to 795 of the family's 1533-position model. The record is from RNAcentral.